GACGAACGCUGGCGGCGUGCCUAAUACAUGCAAGUAGAACGCUGAAGAGAGGAGCUUACUCUUCUUGGAUGAGUUGCGAACGGGUGAGUAACGCGUAGGUAACCUGCCUUGUAGCGGGGGAUAACUAUUGGAAACGAUAGCUAAUACCGCAUAACAAUGGAUGACACAUGUCAUUUAUUUGAAAGGGGCAAUUGCUCCACUACAAGAUGGACCUGCGUUGUAUUAGCUAGUAGGUGAGGUAAUGGCUCACCUAGGCGACCAUACAUAGCCGACCUGAGAGGGUGAUCGGCCACACUGGGACUGAGACACGGCCCAGACUCCUACGGGAGGCAGCAGUAGGGAAUCUUCGGCAAUAGGGGCAACCCUGACCGAGCAACGCCGCGUGAGUGAAGAAGGUUGUCGGAUCGUAAAGCUCUGUUGUAAGUCAAGAACGGGUGUGAGAGUGGAAAGUUCACACUGUGACGGUAGCUUACCAGAAAGGGACGGCUAACUACGUG
Molecule: ribosomal RNA, 497 nt
Filed under: uncultured bacterium
Lineage: Bacteria
Description: partial 16S ribosomal RNA
Rfam family: Bacterial small subunit ribosomal RNA
Source: RNAcentral